This 351-nucleotide ribosomal RNA is filed under the name Cutaneotrichosporon mucoides. Its description in RNAcentral is "eukaryotic LSU rRNA". The stretch from base 1 to 125 matches the Rfam family "5.8S ribosomal RNA", at positions 30 to 154 of the family's 154-position model. Lineage: Eukaryota; Fungi; Basidiomycota; Tremellomycetes; Trichosporonales; Trichosporonaceae. The record is from RNAcentral.
GCAUCGAUGAAGAACGCAGCGAAAUGCGAUAAGUAAUGUGAAUUGCAGAAUUCAGUGAAUCAUCGAAUCUUUGAACGCAACUUGCGCUCUCUGGUAUUCCGGAGAGCAUGCCUGUUUGAGUAUCAUGAAAUCUCAACCAUUAGGGUUUCUUAAUGGCUUGGAUUUGGGCGCUGCCACUUGCCUGGCUCGCCUUAAAAGAGUUAGCGUAUUAACUUGUCGAUCUGGCGUAAUAAGUUUCGCUGGUGUAGACUUGAGAAGUGCGCUUCUAAUCGUCUUCGGACAAUUCUUGAACUCUGGUCUCAAAUCAGGUAGGACUACCCGCUGAACUUAAGCAUAUCAAUAAGCGGAGGA